This is a non-coding RNA of Aedes aegypti (yellow fever mosquito), 46 nucleotides long. NCBI's taxonomy places the organism in Eukaryota, Metazoa, Arthropoda, Insecta, Diptera, Culicidae. The record is from Rfam.
CAAUCGGCCCUUUUCAGGGCCAACAUGCGUUCAUAAAAGGGUUUAU